This 464-nucleotide ribosomal RNA is filed under the name uncultured bacterium. RNAcentral describes it as "partial 16S ribosomal RNA". It matches the Rfam family "Bacterial small subunit ribosomal RNA", at positions 30 to 506 of the family's 1533-position model. The record is from RNAcentral.
CGAACGCUGGCGGCGUGCUUAACACAUGCAAGUCGAACGGAAAGGCCCUGCUUUUGUGGGGUGCUCGAGUGGCGAACGGGUGAGUAACACGUGAGUAACCUGCCCUUGACUUUGGGAUAACUUCAGGAAACUGGGGCUAAUACCGGAUAGGAGCUCCUGCUGCAUGGUGGGGGUUGGAAAGUUUCGGCGGUUGGGGAUGGACUCGCGGCUUAUCAGCUUGUUGGUGGGGUAGUGGCUUACCAAGGCUUUGACGGGUAGCCGGCCUGAGAGGGUGACCGGCCACAUUGGGACUGAGAUACGGCCAGACUCCUACGGGAGGCAGCAGUGGGGAAUAUUGCACAAUGGGCGGAAGCCUGAUGCAGCAACGCCGCGUGCGGGAUGACGGCCUUCGGGUUGUAAACCGCUUUCGCCUGUGACGAAGCGUGAGUGACGGUAAUGGGUAAAGAAGCACCGGCUAACUACGU